CGCCUCUUGCAAAUUUUCAAAGAAUAAGAGGUCCCGCCUGCCCUGUGACUAUAUGUUUAACGGCCGCGGUAUUUUGACCGUGCGAAGGUAGCGCAAUCACUUGCCUUUUAAAUGGAGGCCCGUAUGAAUGGCACCACGAGGGCUUGACUGUCUCCUUUUUCAAGUCAAUGAAAUUGAUCUCCCCGUGCAGAAGCGGGGAUACCCCCAUAAGACGAGAAGACCCUAUGGAGCUUAAGACACAAGGUAGCCCAUGUUAAGCACCCCCUAACAACGGACUAAACCAGGCGGACCCUACCCCACUGUCUUUGGUUGGGGCGACCGCGGGGUACGAUAAAACCCCCACGUGGAUUGGGAGUAACCCUCCUACAACUAAGAGCUCCCGCUCUAGAAAACAGAAAUUCUGACCAACAAGAUCCGGCAAGGCCGAUCAACGGAACGAGUUACCCUAGGGAUAACAGCGCAAUCCCCUUUUAGAGUCCAUAUCGACAAGGGGGUUUACGACCUCGAUGUUGGAUCAGGACAUCCUAAUGGUGCAGCCGCUAUUAAGGGUUCGUUUGUUCAACGAUUAAAGUCCU
RNAcentral lists this ribosomal RNA (575 nucleotides) under Acropoma hanedai. Its description in RNAcentral is "partial 16S ribosomal RNA". It matches the Rfam family "Bacterial large subunit ribosomal RNA", at positions 1816 to 2597 of the family's 2925-position model. Lineage: Eukaryota; Metazoa; Chordata; Actinopteri; Acropomatiformes; Acropomatidae. The record is from RNAcentral.